RNAcentral lists this transfer RNA (82 nucleotides) under Paludibacteraceae bacterium. Its description in RNAcentral is "tRNA-Leu". It matches the Rfam family "tRNA". Rfam says of the family: Transfer RNA (tRNA) molecules are approximately 80 nucleotides in length. The record is from RNAcentral. Lineage: Bacteria; Pseudomonadati; Bacteroidota; Bacteroidia; Bacteroidales; Paludibacteraceae. RNAcentral also lists the same sequence under 1 other name.
GCGGCAUUGGCGGAAUUGGUAGACGCGCCAGACUUAGGAUCUGGUUCCUCACGGAGUGAAAGUUCGAGUCUUUUAUGCCGCA